CUUUGUCGGCGCCGGGCCGGGCCGGGUUCCGCGGAGGCCGCGCUCGCUGCCGUUGGUGCGCGCUCCCGGCCGGCGCCGCGCCCCCGCCCUCCUGUCCUCCCGUCCUCCCUCCCUCCCCGGCCGCCGAGGGGCGGGGCGGCGGCGGUAGCAGCAGCAGCAGCAGCGAGCAUGUCGUCGAGCAGGGCCAAGAAAGUGAAGAUGGCCACCAAAUCGUGCCCGGAGUGCGACCAGCAGGUUCCUGUUGCAUGUAAAUCGUGUCCCUGUGGCUACAUAUUUAUUAGUCGAAAACUCUUGCAUGCUAAACGUGCUGAGAGAUCGCCACCCAUUACAGAAAACAAGAGUGAGGCCAAAAGGAGACGGACAGAGAGAGUUAAGCGAGAGAAGAUAAAUUCUGCAGUAAAUAAAGACUUAGAAAACCGAAAGAGAUCGAGGACUAACAGCCAUUCAGAUCAUAGCAGACGAGGAAGAGGAAGACCUAAGAGCGCCUCAGCCAAAAAGCACGAGGAAGAAAGAGAGAAACAAGAAAAAGAAGUUGACAUGUAUGCUAACCUUUCAGAUGAAAAGGCCUUCGUAUUUUCAGUGGCCUUGGCGGAAAUAAACAGAAAAAUUAUCAAUCAAAGACUUAUUCUGUAACUUGUAAGCACAAUCUGAUGCAUUUAUAUACGGAAUGGCUAGCAUAUUUCCAAGGUGUCAUGGACUCUCGGAAAGCGUGUUGUCUGCACCAAUAAGGACCAUAGUAUUUCCUGUUAAAAUUCUGCUGCUGUUUUUGGAAAUCACAUUCUGUCUCUGCAAGUGAGAAAGGAAGUGUUCUCAAGAUUGUGCUAUGAAAAUCAGAAAGCAGAAGUGUUUUAUGCCUUGAAGACAAGUGCUAGACAAAUGCACAGAGAGACUGCACCCAUGCUAGAGCACUUCUUUUAGAUUUGCUGCCAGAAAUGCAAUAUUUUAAAUAUUUUCAGAAAUUAAUGAUUUUCCUUUAAAAUCAUAUAUUUCAGAUUUUUGGCUGUAUUGCAGUUUACUAAAUGAGAAUUUGUGAACGCAAGACCUACUUCCCUACAUCAUGUAAAUUUCUGCUUUCCAGGGCUGUAGCCUGUCACAGAUAAAAGUAGCAAGGACAGAUGAGUAACUCUUAAGGAUAGAGAUAAUGCAUCAUAACAGCUGUCUGCAUGGUAAGUUAAAGUCAGAGUGACAAAAGGGGAGUUCUCACUUUGCAAACUUAAGAUAUAGUCAGGUUUGUGUUGCUUCUGUUGCCAGAAUGAGAUUUACUGUGUUAAGAGAGAAAGGGAAAUACUAAUGCCCAGCUGUCUGGUGCUCUAACCUGCAUUCCUGCAGGUGCCUGUUUCUUUUUACUCCUGUAUAUGGAAUGAAUGUUCUUGUAAUAGAUGUUCUCUUCAUCAGAGGACUGCAGCUGAUGUUAAAUGUCUUGUUAAGAUUUCUACACUUAGACUGGUGCCUUUACUUUACUGUUAAGUACUGAAAAAUAUAUUAAUACCUCUCAAAUGUGCAAUGCCCUUUUUCCUCUUCAUUGGUGGAAAAUCUUGAACCAGUGGUCAAGUUCUAUUUCUGUGCUACUUCUUUUUGUUUUCCCCAGGUCUCUACUGUCAAUUCUUUCCCAGUUGUGUUCGUGCUAUUUUUCUUCCUUUAUUGGCUUCCAUUUCCUUUGCACAAGCUGUGAUAGAUGCAGGUUGUUCUCAGAAUAUCCUAGGGAGGGGUUAGCUCUUUGCUAGUGGACCACAAUGGAUCUUGCUAAACAAGAGUUCAGACUUGCUCUUAGCACCAAUCAGAAACAAAGCACUGUUUCCUAUAUAGAUGGGACACUUUAGAAUCUUCCUAAAGCACUGGUAAUUCUGUAACUGUAAUAUCAUAAGACAUAGAUCUCUUGGAAUAUAUCCAGCGAUUGAAAUGUAAAUUGUCCUGCAUCUCAGGAUUCAAGAGUUCUUUCUUUGUGUUUGAGAUGGUGAAGGGAUAAAAAUAGUGGUAAAUGAUUGUAAAUUAUUGUUAUUAAAUGUAUUGCAUCUCAGUCUACAAAACUGUAAAAUAAAGUCAAUGACAGCUAAAUGAUGACAGAGUAAAAUCCUGUGUAUUGCAAA
Numida meleagris (helmeted guineafowl) is the source of this 2087-nucleotide RNA transcript. It is a transcript of the gene named chromosome 10 C16orf87 homolog, with no coding region annotated. Lineage: Eukaryota; Metazoa; Chordata; Aves; Galliformes; Numididae. The record is from RefSeq and is a predicted model, not a curated record. The transcript has 5 exons.